RNAcentral lists this ribosomal RNA (1015 nucleotides) under Cladosporium cladosporioides. RNAcentral describes it as "SSU rRNA". It matches the Rfam family "Eukaryotic small subunit ribosomal RNA", at positions 80 to 1103 of the family's 1831-position model. Lineage: Eukaryota; Fungi; Ascomycota; Dothideomycetes; Cladosporiales; Cladosporiaceae. The record is from RNAcentral.
CGGUGAACUGCGAAUGGCUCAUUAAAUCAGUUAUCGUUUAUUUGAUAGUACCUUACUACAUGGAUAACCGUGGUAAUUCUAGAGCUAAUACAUGCUAAAAACCUCGACUUCGGAAGGGGUGUAUUUAUUAGAUAAAAAACCAAUGCCCUUCGGGGCUCCUUGGUGAAUCAUAAUAACUUAACGAAUCGCAUGGCCUUGCGCCGGCGAUGGUUCAUUCAAAUUUCUGCCCUAUCAACUUUCGAUGGUAGGAUAGUGGCCUACCAUGGUAUCAACGGGUAACGGGGAAUUAGGGUUCGACUCCGGAGAGGGAGCCUGAGAAACGGCUACCACAUCCAAGGAAGGCAGCAGGCGCGCAAAUUACCCAAUCCCGACACGGGGAGGUAGUGACAAUAAAUACUGAUACAGGGCUCUUUUGGGUCUUGUAAUUGGAAUGAGUACAAUUUAAAUCCCUUAACGAGGAACAAUUGGAGGGCAAGUCUGGUGCCAGCAGCCGCGGUAAUUCCAGCUCCAAUAGCGUAUAUUAAAGUUGUUGCAGUUAAAAAGCUCGUAGUUGAACCUUGGGCCUGGCUGGCCGGUCCGCCUCACCGCGUGUACUGGUCCGGCCGGGCCUUUCCUUCUGGGGAACCUCAUGCCCUUCACUGGGCGUGUUGGGGAACCAGGACUUUUACUUUGAAAAAAUUAGAGUGUUCAAAGCAGGCCUUUGCUCGAAUACAUUAGCAUGGAAUAAUAGAAUAGGACGUGUGGUUCUAUUUUGUUGGUUUCUAGGACCGCCGUAAUGAUUAAUAGGGAUAGUCGGGGGCAUCAGUAUUCAAUCGUCAGAGGUGAAAUUCUUGGAUUGAUUGAAGACUAACUACUGCGAAAGCAUUUGCCAAGGAUGUUUUCAUUAAUCAGUGAACGAAAGUUAGGGGAUCGAAGACGAUCAGAUACCGUCGUAGUCUUAACCAUAAACUAUGCCGACUAGGGAUCGGACGGUGUUAGUAUUUUGACCCGUUCGGCACCUUACGAGAAAUCAAAG